RNAcentral lists this non-coding RNA (45 nucleotides) under Schistosoma mansoni. Lineage: Eukaryota; Metazoa; Platyhelminthes; Trematoda; Strigeidida; Schistosomatidae. The record is from RNAcentral.
AUCCAGCUAACGAGUCCUAAAUAAGACGAAACGCGCUUCCUGGAU